Molecule: ribosomal RNA, 499 nt
Filed under: uncultured bacterium
Lineage: Bacteria
Description: bacterial SSU rRNA
Rfam family: Bacterial small subunit ribosomal RNA
Source: RNAcentral
GAUCCUGGCUCAGAUUGAACGCUGGCGGCGUGCCUAACACAUGCAAGUCGAGCGGCAGCACGGGGAGCAAUCCUGGUGGCGAGCGGCGGACGGGUGAGUAAUGCUUUGGAAUCUGCCCAUCAAUGGGGGACAACCCGGGGGAAACUCGGGCUAAUACCGCAUACGUCCUACGGGAGAAAGCGGGGGAUCGCAAGACCUCGCGUUGAUGGAUGAGCCAAAGUCGGAUUAGCUAGUUGGUAGGGUAAAGGCCUACCAAGGCGACGAUCUGUAGCGGGUCUGAGAGGACGACCAGCCACACUGGGACUGAGACACGGCCCAGACUCCUACGGGAGGCAGCAGUGGGGAAUAUUGGGCAAUGGAGGAAACUCUGACCCAGCGACGCCGCGUGCGGGAUGAAGGCCUUCGGGUUGUAAACUGCUUUUGUACGGAACGAAAAGGUUUCUCUUAAUACGAGGAGCUCAUGACGGUACCGUAAGAAUAAGCACCGGCUAACUACGUG